Molecule: ribosomal RNA, 497 nt
Filed under: uncultured bacterium
Lineage: Bacteria
Description: partial 16S ribosomal RNA
Rfam family: Bacterial small subunit ribosomal RNA
Source: RNAcentral
GACGAACGCUGGCGGCGUGCCUAAUACAUGCCAGUUGAGCGAUGAAGCUUGGUGCUUGCACCAAUUUGAAGAGCAGCGAACGGGUGAGUAACGCGUGGGGAAUCUGCCUUUGAGCGGGGGACAACAUUUGGAAACGAAUGCUAAUACCGCAUAACAACUUUAAACAUAAGUUUUAAGUUUGAAAGAUGCAAUUGCAUCACUCAAAGAUGAUCCCGCGUUGUAUUAGCUAGUUGGUGAGGUAAAGGCUCACCAAGGCGAUGAUACAUAGCCGACCUGAGAGGGUGAUCGGCCACAUUGGGACUGAGACACGGCCCAAACUCCUACGGGAGGCAGCAGUAGGGAAUCUUCGGCAAUGGGCGAAAGUCUGACCGAGCAACGCCGCGUGAGUGAAGAAGGUUUUCGGAUCGUAAAACUCUGUUGGUAGAGAAGAACGUUGGUGAGAGUGGAAAGCUCGUCAAGUGACGGUAACUACCCAGAAAGGGACGGCUAACUACGUG